AAUAGAUACCCGGGUAGUCCACGCCCUAAACGAUGUCGACUAGGUGUUGGGGAAGGAGACUUCCUUAGUACCACAGCUAACGCGUGAAGUCGACCGCCUGGGGAGUACGGUCGCAAGAUUAAAACUCAAAGGAAUUGACGGGGACCCGCACAAGCGGUGGAUGAUGUGGAUUAAUUCGAUGCAACGCGAAAAACCUUACCUACCCUUGACAUGUACGGAAGUCCGCUGAGAGGUGGAUGUGCCCGAAAGGGAGCCGUAACACAGGUGCUGCAUGGCUGUCGUCAGCUCGUGUCGUGAGAUGUUGGGUUAAGUCCCGCAACAAGCGCAACCCUUGCCAUUAGUUGCCACAUUCAGUUGGGCACUCUAAUGGGACUGCCGGUGACAAACCGGAGGAAGGUGGGGAUGACGUCAAGUCCUCAUGGCCCUUAUGGGUAGGGCCUCACACGUCAUACAAUGGCGCGUACAGAGGGUUGCCAACCCGGCGAGGGGGAGCCAAUCCCAGAAAGCGCGUCGUAGUCCGGAUUGGAGUCUGCAACUCGACUCC
RNAcentral lists this ribosomal RNA (544 nucleotides) under uncultured bacterium. Its description in RNAcentral is "bacterial SSU rRNA". It matches the Rfam family "Bacterial small subunit ribosomal RNA", at positions 777 to 1319 of the family's 1533-position model. The record is from RNAcentral.